GGCCUGAUAGCUCAACUGGUGGACUAGCAUCACAAAGGUCAGGGUUCGAUUCCCGUUCAGGCCU
This 64-nucleotide transfer RNA is filed under the name Acropora cervicornis. RNAcentral's name for it is "tRNA-OTHER". Lineage: Eukaryota; Metazoa; Cnidaria; Anthozoa; Scleractinia; Acroporidae. The record is from RNAcentral.